RNAcentral lists this transfer RNA (72 nucleotides) under Camelus bactrianus (Bactrian camel). It matches the Rfam family "tRNA". From Rfam's summary of the family: Transfer RNA (tRNA) molecules are approximately 80 nucleotides in length. Their secondary structure includes four short double-helical elements and three loops (D, anti-codon, and T loops). Further hydrogen bonds mediate the characteristic L-shaped molecular structure. tRNAs have two regions of fundamental functional importance: the anti-codon, which is responsible for specific mRNA codon recognition, and the 3' end, to which the tRNAs corresponding amino acid is attached (by aminoacyl-tRNA synthetases). tRNAs cope with the degeneracy of the genetic code in two manners: having more than one tRNA (with a specific anti-codon) for a particular amino acid; and 'wobble' base-pairing, i.e. permitting non-standard base-pairing at the 3rd anti-codon position. Lineage: Eukaryota; Metazoa; Chordata; Mammalia; Artiodactyla; Camelidae. The record is from Rfam by way of RNAcentral. RNAcentral also lists the same sequence under 2 other names.
GAGGGUGUAGCUCAGUGGUAGAGCGUGUGCUUAGCAUGCACAAGGUCCUGGGUUCAAUCCCCAGUACCUCCA